UCGCAUGUUGAUGUCGGUGCUGCUUAGCUGAUUACUGAACUCUUAAUAUGACAUGUAAAAGAAGGUUAUACUGUGCUUAUGAAGAAUGUGUUCCAAACACUACGUUGCUCUAAGUGCAGUAGUUGCAGACUGUGAGCCAAAUAAUGGACAUUCCUUUCUAAAAUGUUUGGGAGUCAAAGAUUGGUUUGUGGUUUAACUUGUUUGGUGGUCGUUGUACCACGCCGUGCAUGAUGUUCGUUCGAUGCUUGAUGGCUGAAAAUGUAAAGGUCAGGGAAGGAGCAUAUCCUUGGCCAAAAAAAAGGGAGUGUAUCAGUGGCCAAAACAGUGGAAGGAGCGAAUCUGUGCUGACGUUUUGAUUUGAGCUGGGAUGUUGACAAUAUAAGAUGUUUAUCAGUUGCCCACCUCAAGAUGAGUUUGGGUUUUCCAAUCUGACAUUGCAUUCUAGAAAUCUCAAGUGUCGUCUUGCUAAGAUUUGAUAUAAUGCUCGAUGAACAUCCGAUUUGCUGGCAAGUUGUACUAGUCUUAAGGACCAUUGACAAUCAUGUGACGAGAUUCAGAAUUCAGCAAAAGAGGGGGAAAAGGGUUACCAAAUGUGCAUGUAACAACAUUCUUUGCAAUCCCUAUCUUAAGACAUCGGUAUAUUCCACGAAGCUAAGGAAAAAGAGCUUAUGUAUCCAGUAUCUGUAAGCCUCCUGUCGAGAAAGCAGGAUGCGUCCGGCCUCUGCCUGCAUUACCAUUUUCUCUUUGGUCGGAAAAGACGUCUGGAUUGCCACCAAGCCUUGACAUUCGGCUACCGUGACUCCUUUGGUGCACUUGGAAAUACCCAAAUGUCUGAGGACCAAGUCAAGAAAGAGAACAAACAUUGGAUAAUCAUUGGAAGAAUCAUGAAGUGAUACCUCUAUAUCCAGCUUCCUUUGUUCAGAUAUUUUCGGCUUCCAUGGCCCAGGUGGACUGGUCGAAACAUCUACAUGCGUAGCAUCUGCAGCAGGAAGAUCACAAUCAUCCGCUUUUGUCUUUAGUUUUAGGAAGUGCUGUCUACAUUUUAGAGGUAAUGCGUCCUAUGCUGUCUACAUUUUAGAGACAAUGUUUUCUGGGAUCACUUGAGCAGCUAUGAAGAGGUAAGGGAGUAAAACCGUGAUCCUCGGGUGCAUGGGUGUCCACCCUACUUACUCUAUGUGCUAUCGGCAUCAGAUGACAUGGUUGUAAAGCUCUAGGACUGGGAGAAGGACUAGAUGUGUACUCAAACAUUUGAAGGAGAUUCACAUUAUGUGAUGUGAGUAGCAUUUGAUCCUCAAGAUCCUAAUGCUUUUGCAAGUACAUCACUCGAGGGAAUUAUAAAGAUUUGGAAUGUGCACUCCUCUACGCCUAAGUUUACUUCACACGUGCAUGGGAAAGGGCUGAACUUUGUUGAUCACUUCUCGAGGGAUGAUAUGCUGUAUUUACUGAGUGGUUCAAAUGAUUACACUGCUAAGGUUUGGGCAGAAGCUGUGUACAAACACUCGAGGGACACGAGCACAAUGUUACCGCCAUAUGUGCGCAUCCUAAUCUGCCAAUAGUAAUCAUUGGUUCAGAGGAGUAGACUCUUCGUUUAUGGGAUGCAAAUGGCUUUGGGUAUGCAUUGUGGGAGUUUGUACAGUCAUAGCAUGCUCUAGAAUGUAGCUUCAGUUACAGCAGGCGAAUGAAAAUAUCGCCUCUAUCUUUUCCAGAUUUUCCAGAACUUACCAUAGGAUAAGACUGUUUAUGUCCCUGGAUUCUUUGUUGUUUUGUGAAUGACUCUUGACUUUCUGUCGCAUACAGGCUUAAGCACGUACUGAAAUUUGGUCAUGGAAGGAUUUGGGAUAUUUCAUAUCAGAAAGGUUCCCGCUGAUAACAUUCAUACCUGCUCUAAAUGCUUCAUUUCCUCAUUAUAUCCAUGCUCCGACAAUAAUAAGCUAUUAUGAUGGUCCGAGGUUUUCCAUUGCCUCUAUAAAGACAUUCAUGUAGGCUCUGUGGUUUCAGUACAAAGAUAAAAUCUUCCAUAUCCGUUGUCUCCCAUUUUUGUGGCUUUCACUCUGCCGGGUUGCAGUUGCUUGCAUCGAGGGAAUAGCUGUGGUCGAGAUAGUGUGCUGAUAGCGUGGAGCCUUCAGCCAAAUUCUAUGUUGGAUAAAACAGAUCCCGACCUCUACAACUGUUACUUUCAAUUUGAAGUUCAAAUAAAAGUGCAUAUCGUUCUUCUGUCAAAAAAAGAAAGUGUCGCUUUGUACGAGUUUUACUCUUUGCGUCCUACCAGUGAUAGGAUUUUCCAGUGUAACCCAAAGAUCUCAUACUUUCCUUUUGUGGUGUAUCCUGGUGAAAGUUCGUUUACGAUC
Eucalyptus grandis is the source of this 2348-nucleotide long non-coding RNA. RefSeq lists it as uncharacterized. The record is from RefSeq and is a predicted model, not a curated record. The transcript has 6 exons. Lineage: Eukaryota; Viridiplantae; Streptophyta; Magnoliopsida; Myrtales; Myrtaceae.